CCUANGGGGGGCAGCAGUGGGGAAUCUUGCGCAAUGGGCGAAAGCCUGACGCAGCGACGCCGCGUGGGGGAAGAAGGCCUUAGGGUUGUAAACCUCUUUCAGGUGGGACGAAGCCACUCGGGUUAAUAGCCCAGAGGGUGACGGUACCACCAGAAGAAGCCCCGGCUAACUACGUGCCAGCAGCCGCGGUAAUACGUAGGGGGCAAGCGUUGUCCGGAUUUAUUGGGCGUAAAGAGCGUGUAGGCGGCCAGGUAGGUGGGUUGUGAAAACUGGAGGCUCAACCUUCAGACGUCGACCCAAACCCCCUGGCUAGAGUCCGGAAGAGGAGAGUGGAAUUCCUGGUGUAGCGGUGAAAUGCGCAGAUAUCAGGAAGAACACCCGUGGCGAAGGCGGCUCUCUGGGACGGUACUGACGCUGAGACGCGAAAGCGUGGGGAGCGAACAGGAUUAGAUACCCCUNUANUC
This 464-nucleotide ribosomal RNA is filed under the name uncultured bacterium. RNAcentral describes it as "bacterial SSU rRNA". It matches the Rfam family "Bacterial small subunit ribosomal RNA", at positions 338 to 795 of the family's 1533-position model. The record is from RNAcentral.